CAAAAAACCAGAAGGUGUGUGAUGUCUCAGCUAACCGUGUUCACAGAGCGGCGUCUUGGUUUAAAUUGCUGAUGAGAGUGAGUUUGAGCCAAGACUCCAGCUCCGACAGCAUUUUCCUUCCUGCCAGUCCUGGCAGAAAAGCAGGACAGGCUGCUGGGGCCUGGAGAUCCAACCACCUCAAAGCCAGAUGAGCUGGAACUGGUUUGACAAAGCUCUUGCUCAUCAUCAACUUGAAAGGGCUUAUCCUGAUGCCCUGCUGUAUGAAACAGAGCCAGCUUAGGGAACGCCACCGAAAUUUAACUCUUAUCAGCGUGGUAUUAAAAAUACACCCAAUGUUCACACCGUGGGAGCUCCGUCGUCUGCUCAGGUAACACGAUCCUAUAUACUGAAAUAUAACAUAUGGACAUGGCAGAACUUCAACCAGUCUAUACGCUGCUCCAGAAUACAUCCGUCCUCAGUCAGUCAGCGGCUUGCAAGACAUAAAAGACGAGAUGAACAAACAACCGUGAGAUAAUAUCCAUCAGAAAUAACUAUUAGGAGGCUCCACGCAUAAAGUAGUACAAAAACUACCUAAUGUCUUCCAAAUGUAGUAGCUUUACUAACAUUUGGGCCUUACAAUUUUCACAUUGCCCCUGUUCCUCUCAGAACGUGUUAAUUCUGUAGGAUACUCCUCCUCAUUUUCCAUCAUUCAGGUGAUGGAAAAUAUCACUGCAAACUGCUGGUAAUGUUUAUAGCUUAUAUGGCUGCCACUAAUUGCAAAUAAGCCCAGACAAAUGCUUUAUAAGAGAUAGAUGUAUCUCUCACAAAUGCAUGACGCAGUUUUAUAAUGCAGCGUUCUUGGCUUCAACCGCGACCGAAAGAAGAGUUAUGUGAUCACCCUGUCCAUCUUCCCUUUGCCCAAUAACUUUUGGACCAAUUUUAAUCAAAUCAGAAAGCCAGGUAGACAUCUCACAGAUAGGAGUUUCUAUCAGCUUAAUGAGGACUGAUGGCUGCAAGAGAAAAAUAAUGCACAAAUUACUACUAGCACUGGUAAAAAGGUUUCAAUGGGGGCCCAUCAGUCACCCCCUGUGCCUGGGGUGCCUCUGGCCAUUCGGUCACCACUAGUCCAGAAUCAGUCGAUGCCACCUCCUUCCACCUGACACACGCACCUCCGACAAGUUUUGAAGAAAACUUGUCUAAAAAUGUAUUAAAGCAAAGCAAACAUAAUGAAAUCAGUGACUGAUGAAUUCUCCAACAUGCAUUAAAAUGCAAAAAAAUGCUCACACUGAUUAUUUUGAUACCAACCUUGGCAGCACCAUUAGUCCCCAGUCUGUCAAGCACUGGCCUUGCAGGCCUAUGGAGAACGUGCAGGUCUCCACUGUUUCCAUGGGAUUAUUUGGGUUAUUCUAUCUCUUCACACACAGAACAAUCAGCCUUUUUCGGCAGACUUCAACAUGAUGGUAAAAGCUAAUUGAGAACGAUGAGCCCUAAUGUGGUAUGGUUAAUCUUUCUGAGUUUUAUCGAUGAAAAAACAAAUUACCUUCUCCAUGUAAUAACACAGAUAUUGUGAUUUGAAUCUGAACGAAAAGAUGUUAUGCUGCCAACAUUGUGCUCCGUGGGAUAAAUCAAUGUAUUCUUGUUUUUUGGAUGAGUGGUUUUAGUCUCAGCUCCAGUGUCACUUCCUCAUCAAGUCACAUUUGCAAAGGAUUUGGGGUGUUUGAGGGAGGAUGUUUUAUAGGGCUUGAUUUCCAAAAAGCGGUCACUACCCAUACAUGAGAAGUUUUAGAAGCUUACUAGAAAUCUCCUUAAACCUCAUAAACAAUAGAUACCGACAGUAAAAGCUACUGUGAAAGUUUGUAAUUUUAAAGUACAACAAAGCACCAAAAAAACCCACAAAAACUAAUGGGAGAUUCUGGAGCGUUUCCUCCUCCUUGGCUCAACUCAUCACUAUGUGCAACAGCAGGAGAAGUUUCACAGGCAACCUCCAACCUGCUAAUUCUUCCAAACUAACGAAGUGGCAGCAGAGGAGGUUCUGCUGGGGCAAUAAUUUGUAGAUUAUAUUAAACUGCCAACCAAUAAACCUCCUGCUCAACCCACCUCUUGCAGAGGUGUUUUAUUCAGCACCAAGACAUAUGUUCUUUAGCUGGAAGAUGUGUUUGGAGGCUGAAAUAACUUUGCCACCAGCCACUUUGGCACUGGGUCUCUUCUAAACAUUUCAUAAGAAGUUAUUAUUUCCCAUGAGAAACCACAUUAAAGCAUUUCUUGAACAAACGGAGCUAUCUUUGACUUGAAGAGCAUCAUAUGAUCUCAGCCAUUCCACGUGCAACUAGUUUUCAAACUGAUUUAGACCCAUAAAACAGUUGCCUUGAAAGUUUUCCCUUAAAAAUCUAACUUAAUCUAAAAUUGCCAUGAAAAUUCAUGUAAAAACGCAGUUUGCGAUUCCCAAAAAUUGAAAGUCAAAUGUAAAAUAACACGUUUGCUAAACAGCUUCGAAUUCCACAUGGAAACAAGAGAGUGUUUCCUUUGGCCGAGGUUGAUGAGCAGAAGGUGGUGAAAACCUCUCACAACACCAACCCUACGAAGUGCAGGGUUGAGGCAUCAGAUGGAAAAGCAAAGACCUGAACCUCUCACCUUUCAUUGAGCUUUUCAAUAUCCCACUAGAAGGACCCGCGUUUACAAACUGCCCUUUGAAAAGGAUUCAUUUUCCAUUCCUCUUGUCAAAAGAAAGAUACAGUCUACAUAAAACCAGCAACAGAUUUGUCCU
Molecule: long non-coding RNA, 2743 nt
Organism: Columba livia (rock pigeon)
Lineage: Eukaryota; Metazoa; Chordata; Aves; Columbiformes; Columbidae
Exons: 3
Source: RefSeq, a predicted model, not a curated record